AGUGAACGCUGGCGGCGUGCCUAAUACAUGCAAGUCGAACGAAGUGGCGCACGGGUGAGUAAUAUAUAGUUAAUCUGCCCUACACAGAGGAACAACAGUUGGAAACGACUGCUAAUAACCCAUAGUGUAGGAUGAGACUAUAUCGUAUCAGCUAGUUGGUAAGGUAAUGGCGUACCAAGGCUAUGACGCGUAACUGGUCGGAGAGGAUGAUCAGUCGCAUUGGAAGGGAGGCACGGUCCAGGAUCCUUCGGGAAGGAGCGGUAAGGAAUAUUGGGCAAUGGGAGAGACCCUGACACAGCAACGCGGCGUGGAGGAUUACACGUUGCGGAGCGUAAGCUCCUGUUAACAGGAAAGCGGUACCGGAUGAAGAAGCACCGGCUAACUCCGUGCCAGCAGCCGCGGUAAUAC
Molecule: ribosomal RNA, 408 nt
Filed under: uncultured bacterium
Lineage: Bacteria
Description: partial 16S ribosomal RNA
Rfam family: Bacterial small subunit ribosomal RNA
Source: RNAcentral